Molecule: RNA transcript, 3559 nt
Organism: Micropterus dolomieu (smallmouth bass)
Lineage: Eukaryota; Metazoa; Chordata; Actinopteri; Centrarchiformes; Centrarchidae
Gene name: kinesin-1 heavy chain-like
Exons: 27
Source: RefSeq, a predicted model, not a curated record
UCAGGUUCAACGUUAUCAUUUCAAAGGAACAUUUUCCGCUGUAAAGAGAUUUGAGGACUACUUUGACACUGUUUACUAGUCAGCUGAAGCUGCUCUGUUGGGGGCGCGGCCUCCCUUUGGACUCCCUGCUGCUUCAGUUUCAGCAGCAGCUGUCAGACUGUAACGGGAGGACGAAGCGCUCCAUCCAUCCACAGCGGCUGAGAUGGCGGACCCGGCCGAGUGCACCAUCAAGGUGGUGUGCCGUUUCAGGCCUCUAAACAGCGCGGAGGUGGCCCGGGGAGAUAAGUACAUACCUAAGUUUAAAGGGGAUGACUGUGUGCAGAUUGGGGGUAAACCGUACUACUUUGACCGCGUGUUCCAGUCCAAUACUACUCAGGAGCAGUUCUAUAACGCUGUAGCUCAGAAGAUUGUCAGAGAUGUUCUGGAGGGCUACAAUGGGACAAUAUUUGCCUAUGGACAGACAUCCUCUGGAAAAACACACACAAUGGAGGGGAACCUCCAUGACCCAGACAUGAUGGGAGUCAUUCCCAGAAUAGUCCAGGACAUCUUCAACUACAUUUAUUCCAUGGAUGAGAACCUGGAGUUUCAUAUCAAAGUUUCAUAUUUUGAAAUCUAUUUGGACAAAAUCAGGGACUUGCUGGAUGUAACAAAGACCAACCUUUCGGUACAUGAGGACAAAAACAGGGUGCCCUUUGUCAAGGGGUGUACCGAGCGUUUUGUGUGCAGUCCUAAAGAGGUCAUGGACACCAUAGAUGAAGGCAAAAACAACAGACACGUGGCUGUCACAAACAUGAAUGAGCAUAGUUCCAGGAGUCACAGCAUCUUCCUCAUCAACAUCAAGCAGGAAAACACUCAGACGGAACAGAAACUUACCGGCAAACUCUACCUCGUCGAUCUGGCUGGGAGUGAGAAAGUGGGUAAAACUGGAGCAGAGGGCACAGUGCUGGAUGAAGCCAAGAUGAUCAACAAGUCCCUGUCUUCACUGGGAAAUGUGAUUUCAGCUCUGGCAGAAGGCUCGAGCUAUGUACCAUACAGAGACAGUAAGAUGACCAGGAUUCUGCAGGACUCCCUAGGAGGGAACUGUCGAACCACCAUGGUCAUCUGCUGCUCACCAUCCGCCUUCAAUGACGCUGAGACCAGGACCACACUGCUGUUUGGGCAGAGGGCAAAGACCAUCAAGAACACGGUGAGUCUGAAUGUGGAACUGACAGCAGAACAGUGGAAGAGCAAGUGGGAGAAAGAGAAGGAGAAGAACAAGACGCUGAAAAACACUGUCACCUGGCUGGAGACUGAGCUAAACCGCUGGAGGAACGGAGAGAGUGUGCCAGCAGAGGAACAGUUUGAUAAAGAAAAGGCCAAAGCAGAGGUCCUGGCCCUGGACAGUGCACUCAACAACGACAAGACAGCACCCAUACCUGCCCUCAGCACCCUCCCUGGGGUCAAACUCACAGAUGCAGAGAAAGAAAAAUAUGAGGCAGAAAUGGCCAAGCUCUACAAAGAGCUGGAUGACAAGGAUGAGGAGAUCAACCAGCAGUCUCAGUUGGUGGAGAAAUUGAAUCAGCAGUUGUUGGACCAGGAGGAGCUCUUAGCCUCCUCCAGCCGUGAUCACGACACCCUGCAGACUGAACUAAACCGGCUGCUGGCAGAGAACGAAGCCUCCAAGGAGGAGGUGAAGGAGGUGCUGCAAGCCCUGGAGGAGCUGGCUGUCAACUAUGACCAGAAGAGUCAGGAAGUUGAGGACAAAUCAAAAGAGUUUGAGGCUCUCAGCGAGGAGCUGAACGAGAAAUCGAGCUCCUUGGCCUCCAUUGACUCUGAACUCCAGAAGCUGAAGGAGAUGACCAACCAUCAGAAGAAGAGGGUCACUGAGAUGACGUCAUCAUUACUCAAAGACCUGGCUGAGAUAGGCGUUGCCUUGGGAAGCAACGACAUUAAGCAACAAGAGAGCAGUGGUCUCAUAGAUGAGGAGUUCACUGUGGCUCGUCUCUACAUCAGUAAGAUGAAGUCAGAAGUGAAGACGAUGGUGAAGCGCAGCAAACAGCUGGAGAGCACCCACGCUGACAGCACCCAAAAGAUGGAGGAGAUGGAGAUAGAGCUGACUGCCUGCCAGCUCCGUAUCUCCCAGCAUGAAGCUAAAAUCAAGUCCCUGACAGACUCCCUCCAGAAUGUGGAGCAGAAGAAAAGACAGCUGGAAGAAAAUGUGGACUGUCUCAAUGAGGAAAUAGUCAGGAUCAAAGCCCAAGAGAAAGUCAACACCAUGGAGAAGGAGGAUGAGAUCCAGUCUGCAAAUGAAGUCAAGGAAGCUGUGGAAAAGCAGAUCCAGUCUCACAGAGAGGCCCAUCAGAAACAGAUCAGCAGCCUGAGAGAUGAGCUGGACAACAAGGAGAAACUCAUCACAGAGCUGCAGGAUCUGAACCAGAAGAUCAUGCUGGAGCAGGAGAGGCUAAGGGUGGAGCAUGAGAAGCUCAAGGCUGCGGACCAGGAGAAGAGCCGCCAGCUGCAAGAGCUGACGGUGCUGCAGGACAAGCGAGAGCAGGCCAGACAAGACCUGAAGGGACUGGAAGAGACGGUGGCCCGAGAGCUGCAGACACUCCACAACCUCAGGAGGCUUUUUGUCCAAGACUUAGCCACUAGAGUCAAAAAGAAUGCUCAGAUGGACUCAGAUGAUACAGAAGGCAGCGCUGCUCAGAAACAGAAGAUCUGCUUCCUGGAGAAUAACCUUGAGCAACUCACUAAAGUGCACAAGCAGCUGCUACGGGACAACGCUGACCUUCGCGGGGAGAUUCCUAAACUGGAGAAGCGCCUGCGGGCCACCGCUGAGCGGGUCAAACCCCUGGAGGCUGCUCUGAAGGAGGCCAAAGAGAAUGCAGCUCGCGAGCGAAAGCGCUACGAGCAGGAGGUGGAGCGCAUUAAGGACACCAUCAAGCCCAAAAACAUGGGCAGGAGACCCUCGGCACAGAUAGGCUAACUGCACCCUGGCCCUAGCUCCAAACUUAACACACAAAUCUGAGACUCCCUGUCAGUCAGAACUGAAGAAGCCUAUUGGAUAAGAGCCAAGCCCAUCAGACCAGGCCAGCUGCCGGGAGCCUCUCCCAUUAACCCCAGCGUCAACAGGUCCAACCUCAUCCAGAACAACGUCAGCUGCUGAGAAUGGAAGCACAGUCACCCAAAAAAGAAGCCAAAGCCCCAGACCCAAAGGAAUUUUAAUUCCAAAAUAACAAACUUUUACCUGGAACCACUGCCACAAAAACCACCACAAAAAAACAAAACACAUUACUGCCUUGCAAAAUCAACACAUAAUAAUGUUUUAACAGCAACUUACAAAUAUAUUAGCCAAAACUGUGCCAACAUGAAUGUACGUAUCACAACUUGACGGACCCCUGAACACUAGAAGGCACUACUGUCAUGCUUAUCUACUGGUAUUGCUAAGAAUGGCUAGAAUCGUUCAUCUUGGUUUUCCAAAUUAAAUCUGUUGUUGUCAGUAGUCACUAGUCUGUUGCAGGCCACAUUAUGGCCUUUGUUAUGGCUCUAAAAUAAAAAACAUGUAAUAGUACUUAUUUAA